RNAcentral lists this ribosomal RNA (497 nucleotides) under uncultured bacterium. Its description in RNAcentral is "partial 16S ribosomal RNA". It matches the Rfam family "Bacterial small subunit ribosomal RNA", at positions 28 to 507 of the family's 1533-position model. The record is from RNAcentral.
GAUGAACGCUGGCGGCGUGCCUAAUACAUGCAAGUCGAGCGAACAGACGAGGAGCUUGCUCCUCUGACGUUAGCGGCGGACGGGUGAGUAACACGUGGAUAACCUACCUAUAAGACUGGGAUAACUUCGGGAAACCGGAGCUAAUACCGGAUAAUAUAUUGAACCGCAUGGUUCAAUAGUGAAAGACGGUUUUGCUGUCACUUAUAGAUGGAUCCGCGCCGCAUUAGCUAGUUGGUAAGGUAACGGCUUAUCAAGGCGACGAUGCGUAGCCGACCUGAGAGGGUGAUCGGCCACACUGGAACUGAGACGCGGUCCAGACUCCUACGGGAGGCAGCAGUAGGGAAUCUUACGCAAUGGGCGAAAGCCUGACGGAGCAACGCCGCGUGAGUGAUGAAGUUCUUCGGAUCGUAAAACUCUGUUAUUAGGGAAGAACAAUUGUGUAAGUAACUAUGCACGUCUUGACGGUACCUAAUCAGAAAGCCACGGCUAACUACGUG